AACGAACGCUGGCGGUGUGGAUAAGACAUGCAAGUCGAACGCUUGUUAGAGGGUAGCAAUAUUCUGUAGCAGGAGUGGCGGAAGGGUGCGUAACAUGUGGGUAAUCUGCCGUGAAGGCUGGGAUAACUUGCUGAAAGGCGAGCUAAUACCGGAUGAGAUAACUAAGAGGCAGCUUUUGGUUAUGAAAGUUGGGACUGUAAAAGGCCUGACGCUUCAUGANGAGCCCGCAACCUAUCAGCUAGUUGGUGAGGUAAAGCUCACCAAGGCUAAGGACGGGUAGCUGGUCUGAGAGGAUGAUCAGCCAC
This 305-nucleotide ribosomal RNA is filed under the name uncultured bacterium. RNAcentral describes it as "bacterial SSU rRNA". It matches the Rfam family "Bacterial small subunit ribosomal RNA", at positions 29 to 311 of the family's 1533-position model. The record is from RNAcentral.